This 82-nucleotide microRNA precursor is filed under the name Cavia aperea (Brazilian guinea pig). RNAcentral describes it as "miRNA (ENSCAPG00000002115.1)". The record is from RNAcentral. Lineage: Eukaryota; Metazoa; Chordata; Mammalia; Rodentia; Caviidae.
CUGUGGGAAGCCAGGCCAGCACAGAGAAGCUGAGGAUGCUCACGGCACAGCCAGACUUCACCCAGGCUCUACUUCCCUCCAG